GCCUAGCUGGCUCAGUGGGAAGAGCAUGUGACUCUUGAUCAUGGGGUUGUGAGUUUGAGCCCCAUAUUGGGUA
RNAcentral lists this transfer RNA (73 nucleotides) under Felis catus (domestic cat). It matches the Rfam family "tRNA". Rfam says of the family: Transfer RNA (tRNA) molecules are approximately 80 nucleotides in length. Their secondary structure includes four short double-helical elements and three loops (D, anti-codon, and T loops). Lineage: Eukaryota; Metazoa; Chordata; Mammalia; Carnivora; Felidae. RNAcentral also lists the same sequence under 5 other names. The record is from Rfam by way of RNAcentral.